Molecule: unclassified non-coding RNA, 340 nt
Filed under: soil metagenome
Description: partial contains 5.8S ribosomal RNA, internal transcribed spacer 2, and large subunit ribosomal RNA
Rfam family: 5.8S ribosomal RNA (bases 1-120)
Source: RNAcentral
GAUGAAGAACGUAGCGAAAUGCGAUAAGUAGUGUGAAUUGCAGAAUUCAGUGAAUCAUCGAAUCUUUGAACGCACAUUGCGCCCUUUGGUAUUCCAAAGGGCAUGCCUGUUCGAGCGUCAUUUGUACCCUCAAGCUUUGCUUGGUGUUGGGCGUCUUGUCUCUAGCUUUGCUGGAGACUCGCCUUAAAGUAAUUGGCAGCCGGCCUACUGGUUCGGAGCGCAGCACAAGUCGCACUCUCUAUCAGCAAAGGUCUAGCAUCCAUUAAGCCUUUUUUUCAACUUUUGACCUCGGAUCAGGUAGGGAUACCCGCUGAACUUAAGCAUAUCAAUAAGCGGAGGA